This 4617-nucleotide long non-coding RNA is filed under the name Nicotiana benthamiana. RNAcentral describes it as "long non-coding RNA (NBEN_LNC021059)". The record is from RNAcentral. Lineage: Eukaryota; Viridiplantae; Streptophyta; Magnoliopsida; Solanales; Solanaceae.
GACUACCGUUGCACUUGGGAAUUACUUGAGUUCUCUGCUUGUAACAAUUGUCAUGAAUAUUACAACCAAGAAUGGGAAACCUGGAUGGAUACCAGAUAACCUGAAUUAUGGUCACCUUGACUACUUCUAUUAUCUUUUGGCUGUGCUGAGUGUACUGAAUUUGGGAGCUUAUCUCAUGAUAGCGAAGUGGUAUACUUACAAAAGGCCAGUGGGAACUCUGCGUUGAAGGUUGAAGUGGCACAACAAAAGUAAGCUUCUUAUAUUUUGGGUUCAAGAACCUGUAAAUAUAGUUUGAUUGGAAAAUCAUAUGUUGUACACAAACAUAUUUUCUGUAAAACUAGUGAACUGCCACCACUAUCAAUAUGAUGUCAAAGACAUCAGUUUCUGUAUGAUCUGUUCUACUUGUAACACCUCCCACUUAAGACUGAUAAACAUGAUCAUAUUUAGUUUUUCUUUCUGAUUCUCUAGCUCAAUGGACUCUUACAAAGGUUCAAUCCUUGUUAUCUUAAUUUAUCUCUAUAAUAAGGGCAUUUUAUCUAAGUAUUCUUGAUUAUGCUCGAUUAAUAAGAAUCUGAUUUGAGUUCACAAUAUAUAUAUGGCCCUAAUGUAUAACGGUGGGAUAUAUUUGAUAAAGAAUUCAAACGGAGGAUAAAUAUGGCCUAUUUUUAAUAGUACAAGGAUAUAUUUGACUCUUAACCGUUUCUUCUUUAUCUAUUUAGCUUGACGUCUUAGACUGCAAUUCUGCUGGGUUUUGGGUACCAAAUAACAACAACAACCCAGUAUAAUUUUAUUUAAUGGGAUUUGGGGAGAAUAGUAUGUACGCAGACUUUACUCAUUUCUUUGGAUAUAGAGGUUGUUUCCAAAUAAAUCCGGUCAUCCUUCACUCCAAUAACUUCCCAUCUUGCUCUUGGAGACUCGAACUCACAGCCUCUCGGUUGGAAGUGGAGUUGUUUAUUUGGGAACCAAAUAAACACUUUCGAAUUCAAGUAUGUACUAUACCCUUUUUGUAUCUCUCUCUUGGUUUAGAUUUUAACCUGGUUGUUAGUUUUCAAUUUAUUUAAAGUGGUUUUUUUUAUCAAACGAUUAGCAUACAGAAAUUUUGUAAUUUGAGCUUUUCAUGUUUGAUUGUCCAAAUUUUAUUAUUUGUUUAUCAAAUGAUUAGCAAUUGAUCGAGUGUUUAUAGUUUUCAACCUGCUAAACAUCUACUUUUGCAGUAUGCAGAAUGACAUGGGAAAAGUUUCUGGAGAAGAUGAUUUGUAUAGAUGGAACAGUUGAUUACCGCAAUAAUCCAGCUAAGAAGACUGAAACUGGGACUUGGAAAUCCUGCCCUUUCAUCUUAGGUACUCAUGCUCGACAUUCUCAAUUUUUUUUCCUUUUUCAUUUUCCUCCUUUUAGAAUAUUAUUUAUUUCAUGGAUUAACUUGUAUGUUCUGACAGAUUAAAAACAAUUUAUAUUCAAAGUAAUUUAACAUGUGUUUAGCGGGUAACCUGUCUUAUUAAAGUUACUAAUCCAGAAUUUUAUGGAAGGUUACCUAUAAUUAUGUUUAAGAUAACCAGAUAGUGGAAUUCUUCUGUAUGGUUUGGUUUGAAUACAAGUUAUGCUGGGAUUAGUUAUACCGGAAUUAGUUUUGUUGAGAUCAAUUAUACUGGUAUUAUUUCUUAUCGACUAUUUGCUACUAUGUUGUAUCAAUCCGGGAUGGUCAAUUUUACUAUUUUAUCUUGAAAUUACUAAUUGACCCUCUAGCAGCUAUAAGUUAUGCUGGUACUAUUUUUAAUUCUGAGAUAACUUGUGCGAGGAUUAGUAACCAAAUAAGGGAUAAUGCGGUACGAAUUUUUAUUCUGGACUUAUUUUUGCUUAUCCAUCGUACCAAAUGACCCCUUAGUUUUUUAUAGGUUUAUGGUUAGUAAUUUCCGAAGGGAAUAUUUGUUGGCAGGAAACGAGUGCUGUGAAAGAUUGCCAUACUAUGGGAUGAGCACAAAUCUUGUUCUGUAUUUCAAGAAAAGGCUCAACCAACACAGUGCUACAGCUUCAAAGAAUGUGUCAAAUUGGACCGGAACAUGCUACAUCACACCACUAAUUGGGGCAUUUCUAGCAGAUGCUUAUCUAGGAAGAUACUGGACAAUUGCCUGCUUCUCAAUCAUUUAUGUAAUUGCAAGUUUUAUAUCUAUUGAAGUACGUUAGCUCUUCACUAGACUAUGUAACUUGUUUGUGUUGAAUUGUGUGAUCACCUCCUUUAAAAGCUUAAGCAGGUAGUGAGAACAUAGUUUUAUUUAGUGAAUUAUGUUUCAUUACGCCUCUUAUGUGCGGGCCAGAUUCUUUUUUCAUGGGUCAAGCACGUGGAACUUUUUUCUUCUUUUUCUAGCAGUGACUUCAACCUAGGACCUUUGUCUAGUUUGAUACUAUGUUGUAUUGUGUAGCCACCUUUUCUAAAAGCUUAAAUGGCUAGAGAGAGCAAACUUUUAUUUAUUGUGGAAAAUGAGAAGAAAAACUUGGUCUAAUGUAAACAUGUUACACACACAAAAACAUGUAAAGGAUGAAUAAGCAGGAGGAAAAUGAAUUUUUAUGAGCCUAUGCCAAAGUGCUACCUUUAACUUGCUGAGUUAUAAUUGAUUCUCAUCAACUUAAAGGACGAAAGAAUAAAUAAAUAAACAAAUAAAUAAAUAAGUGUAUAUAUUUAUUUAUUUAUAUGUGUGUGUGUGUAAAACCAAAGUCUCAGCUUAAAUUCCUUUUAUCGGGAACUUAGAAGCAUAAAUAUAUGUCUCUUGCAGGGGAUGACUCUAUUGACAUUGUCAGCUUCUGUCCCAGGCCUAAAGCCAAGCAGUGAUCCAAAGGAAGUACAAACUGCAGUUUGCUUUGUUGCACUUUACCUCAUAGCAUUGGGCACUGGUGGGAUUAAGCCCUGCGUUUCAUCUUAUGGGGCAGAUCAGUUUGACGAUGCUGAUGAAGUUGAGAAGAAACACAAGUCAUCUUUCUUUAAUUGGUUCUAUUUUUCGAUUAAUAUCGGUGGUCUUAUUGCUUCUUCAGUGCUGGUUUGGAUACAAGACAAUGUAGGCUGGGGAUGGGGUUUUGGAAUUCCAGCAGUGACUAUGGCCAUUGCUGUAGUAAGCUUCUUUUCAGGUACCCGAUUGUAUCGCAACCAAAAACCUGGAGGGAGCCCUCUGACUCGCAUAAGUCAAGUGGUUGUUGCGUCCUUCAGAAAAUUGAAAGUUGAUGUGUCUGGAGACAAAACUUCCUUGUAUGAGACAACAGAUGCUGAGUCUGCAAUCACAGGGAGUCGCAAGCUUGAUCAUACGAAAGACCUUCAGUGAGCAACUGUUGAUAUCAUUGAAGCUUUCCAUAAUUAUUUUUGAUGUAAUGAAUUUUCCCAAAAAACUAGUGACUGUCUAGGAAUGAGAAAAAUUAUUAACAUGAUCAUCUUUAUUACAGUGAAUAGUUCAGUAUUCUUGUGAUACUUUACCUGGACCUGGAAAUAUGUACACAGCGCACUGACUUGUUGGACCAAUUUUUUUGCUGUCCCCGUUGAUUAAUGUUGAAUUCUAUCAACUUUUUUCAGCAUUUUUAACGGUUCUCCUAUUUGCCAUGAUGGUAAAUGAUGAAACAAAUGAUUUACAACUGAUGUUAUCAUGCAGUUUCUUCGACAAGGCAGCAGUGCAGACAGAAUCUGACCAUAUGAAAGGCAAUAUAGACCAGUGGAGACUUUGCACCGUGACCCAAGUUGAGGAGCUCAAAGCCAUUAUACGAUUGCUACCUAUAUGGGCCACGGGGAUCAUAUUUAGUGCUGUAUACAGUCAAAUAAGUACCAUGUUUGUGUUGCAAGGAGCGUCCAUGGACACUCGCGUAGGAAAUUCCAGCUUCAAGAUUCCACCAGCAUCACUUAGCAUUUUCGACACUCUCAGUGUUAUAUUCUGGGUUCCCAUUUAUGACCAACUUAUUGUCCCAAUUGCUAGGAAGAUUACAGGUCACAAGAAUGGCUUGACACAACUACAGAGAAUGGGUACAGGGCUCUUCAUAUCCAUCUUUGCCAUGGUAUCGUUAUAUUCUGGGUUCCCAUUUAUGACCAAGUUAUUGUCCCAAUUGCUAGGAAGAUUACAGGUCACAAAAAUGGCUUGACACAACUACAGAGAAUGGGUACAGGGCUCUUCAUAUCCAUCUUUGCCAUGGUAUCUGCCGCUAUUCUAGAGCUCUUUCGGUUAAAACAUGUGAAAAAACAUAACUACUAUGAACUGGAGCAGGUCCCCAUGUCAAUAUUUUGGCAGGUUCAACAGUAUUUCCUUAUAGGCUGUGCAGAAGUUUUCACAUUCAUUGGUCAGUUGGAGUUCUUCUACGAUCAAGCACCAGAUGCCAUGAGAAGUUUGUGUUCGGCUUUAUCACUGACUACCGUUGCACUUGGGAAUUACUUGAGUUCUCUGCUUGUAACAAUUGUCAUGAAUAUUACAACCAAGAAUGGGAAACCUGGAUGGAUACCAGAUAACCUGAAUUAUGGUCACCUUGACUACUUCUAUUAUCUUUUGGCUGUGCUGAGUGUACUGAAUUUGGGAGCUUAUCUCAUGAUAGCGAAGUGGUAUACUUACAAAAGGCCAGUGGGAACUCUGCGUUGAAGGUUGAAGUGGCACAACA